RNAcentral lists this ribosomal RNA (487 nucleotides) under bacterium PT16. RNAcentral describes it as "bacterial SSU rRNA". It matches the Rfam family "Bacterial small subunit ribosomal RNA", at positions 17 to 498 of the family's 1533-position model. The record is from RNAcentral.
UCAUGGCUCNGAUUGAACGNUGGNGGCNGGCNUAACCACAUNCAAGUCGAGCGGAUGAAGGGAGCUUCCUCUCUGAUUCAGCGGCGGACGGGUGAGUAAUGCCUAGGAAUCUGCCUGGUAGUGGGGGACAACGUUUCGAAAGGAACGCUAAUACCNCAUACGUCCUACGGGAGAAAGUGGGGGAUCUUCGGACCUCACGCUAUCAGAUGAGCCUAGGUCGGAUUAGCUAGUUGGUGGGGUAAAGGCCUACCAAGGCGACGAUCCGUAACUGGUCUGAGAGGAUGAUCAGUCACACUGGAACUGAGACACGGUCCAGACUCCUACGGGAGGCAGCAGUGGGGAAUAUUGGACAAUGGGCGAAAGCCUGAUCCAGCCAUGCCGCGUGUGUGAAGAAGGUCUUCGGAUUGUAAAGCACUUUAAGUUGGGAGGAAGGGCAGUAAGUUAAUACCUUGCUGUUUUGACGUUACCGACAGAAUAAGCACCGGCU